Molecule: microRNA precursor, 69 nt
Filed under: Mus pahari (shrew mouse)
Lineage: Eukaryota; Metazoa; Chordata; Mammalia; Rodentia; Muridae
Description: microRNA 295 (MGP_PahariEiJ_G0007073.1)
Rfam family: mir-290 microRNA precursor family
Source: RNAcentral
GGUGAGACUCAAAUGUGGGGCACACUUCUGGAUUAUACAUGGAAAGUGCUACUACAUUUGGGUCUCUCC